CUGUGACCUGUCAACUGGCAGCUGUGGAAACUCCUGCAUCAUGUCAGCCCUUGGUAUCUUCUGCCUCCUCUUGGGUAUCUUAGCCCUAAAUGUUGCUGAGACAGAGGCAGUGACGUGUCUUUCGUGUCCGGCCACUAAUGUCACCGACCCUUGUCAAACUAAUUGCACAAGUGGAAACCAGGGCGGCUGCCUCUCUUUCUCCUUAAACAACACACUGGAUGGAAAUCAGGAAAUAUACUAUUAUAGGGGCUGUUUAUCUUUUGAUAUUGAAACAUACCCUUCCAUUUUUCAUUUUGGGAAGGAUAAGUAUUAUGUCUCCAACCUAACACUUUGUACUACGGACGAAUGUAACAAAGACGCAUAUCCAGUUGCACAAAACUUCACACCGAAUGGAUUAUUUUGCAAUGCUUGCUUCGACGCGG
Varanus komodoensis (Komodo dragon) is the source of this 422-nucleotide long non-coding RNA. RefSeq lists it as uncharacterized. The record is from RefSeq and is a predicted model, not a curated record. NCBI's taxonomy places the organism in Eukaryota, Metazoa, Chordata, Lepidosauria, Squamata, Varanidae. The transcript is spliced from 4 exons.